UUUUUCCUGAGCAGUAGGUCUCAACAGCAGGCUUACAAUAUUUAGUAAACCAUGUUAUAAACAGAUGUCCUGUAAUCCAAGCUUUGUUCUUCCAUUUAUAGAGCACAGGCAGAGUAGAUAUGGCAUCAUUCUUAAAGCCCCUAGGAUUUUUGAAAUGGCCAAUGAGCAUUGGC
This is a long non-coding RNA of Herpailurus yagouaroundi (jaguarundi), 173 nucleotides long. RefSeq lists it as uncharacterized. Lineage: Eukaryota; Metazoa; Chordata; Mammalia; Carnivora; Felidae. The record is from RefSeq and is a predicted model, not a curated record. The transcript has 3 exons.